Molecule: ribosomal RNA, 429 nt
Filed under: bacterium
Lineage: Bacteria
Description: partial 16S ribosomal RNA
Rfam family: Bacterial small subunit ribosomal RNA
Source: RNAcentral
UAGGGAAUCUUCGGCAAUGGGGGCAACCCUGACCGAGCAACGCCGCGUGAGUGAAGAAGGUUUUCGGAUCGUAAAGCUCUGUUGUAAGAGAAGAACGUGUGUGAGAGUGGAAAGUUCACACAGUGACGGUAACUUACCAGAAAGGGACGGCUAACUACGUGACAGCAGCCGCGGUAAUACGUAGGUCCCGAGCGUUGUCCGGAUUUAUUGGGCGUAAAGCGAGCGCAGGCGGUUUAAUAAGUCUGAAGUUAAAGGCAGUGGCUUAACCAUUGUUCGCUUUGGAAACUGUUAAACUUGAGUGCAGAAGGGGAGAGUGGAAUUCCAUGUGUAGCGGUGAAAUGCGUAGAUAUAUGGAGGAACACCGGUGGCGAAAGCGGCUCUCUGGUCUGUAACUGACGCUGAGGCUCGAAAGCGUGGGGAGCAAACAGG